GUUUAGGUGGGAGUUCCUAGGAAUUUUAUACUCUGACCACAGAGGCCAUGGGAGAAAGGAAAUAGGAAAAACAGUGUAAAUACCUGGGUGACUAAUGACUCUGUCCAGCCCGUCUGGCUCUCGGAACAUGAAGCCUGCGGUGAUCUCGGGGAGGCAGGACUGGGAAAAGGCUGCAACAGAUUUCCCUGCUGCCCCUGCGUCUCCCAUGCGCUGGAGGUGGGGCAGGGUUUCCAAGCUGACCAUCUGCACGGGCCGAGAUUGACAGCAGCCCGGGAAGGCCAGCGCCUCCACCAUAUCCACCCCAGCACCAGGCCCCCGGAGCAAAGCGGGGACAUCUGCUCACCUUAAUUUAGAAACGCUGGCUCCCGUUUCACUGGAGCCCCUCGGCUUAACAUUCUGCCCUGGCGAGGGCCAGGCUGAAGAGGGCCUCUCCGGGCUGUCACAGGCUCUCCUUUCCCAGGAGAAAGGCAGCUGAGGCUUAUCGGGGGAUGGAAAGUAGAGGAGCGGGGUGGGGCAGAGAACCCCCCUCCUUUUCACCCCGGCCAUCCACCUCCGUACCACAUAUGCGGCAAGGGGAGGGGCAGAUCUGACUCUGGGAUAGGUGACUUUGCUCUCGGCCAGGGAGGUCUGUUUCAGAUGGAGCCAUCUGCAAGUAUUCCAGCUUAAGACCAGGCAGGAAAGGGGGACAGGGAGAGAGCGGGAGGGGGAACGGGAAAUAACAAAUGGGACAGGACUUGUAGCUUGAAUGUGGACGAGGGGCCAGAGCCGUUUACCAGUGGGGGAGGCAAAAAUCUAGCAUCUAUUUUUUUAAAAUAUAAAAUGUAUCCUAGGGGCGGCUAGGUGGUGCAGUGGAUAGAGAACCAGCCCUGAAAUCAGGAGGACCUGAGUUUAAAUGUGACACUGAACACUUCCUAGCUGUGUGACCCUGGGCAAGUCACCUAACCCUAAUUGCCUCAGGGGAAAAAAAGAAUCCUGGUUUUCCUGGCCUGAGUUCAAAUAUGUUGUUGUUCAGUUUUGUCUGGUUCUUCAGGAAACUAGAGUGGCUUGCCUUUUCCUUCUAUAGCUCAUUUUACAGAUGAGGAAACUGAGGCAGACAAGAUUAAGUAAUUUGAUCACACCUACAGACACCUAGUAAGUGUCUGAGACUAGAUCUGAACUCAGGAAAAUGAGUCUUCUUGACUGCAGACCUGGCACUUUCUCUACUGCACCAUCAUUCCCUAUAUUGUAUUAUAUUUAUCUGGGUACUUGUCAUCUCUAUUCCAUAAUAUAAAUAAUUAUAUUAAAUACAAAGCUCCAUUGUAUUAUAUUUAUCUGGGUACUUGUCAUCUCUAUUCCAUAAUAUAAAUAAUUAUAUUAAAU
RNAcentral lists this long non-coding RNA (1359 nucleotides) under Sarcophilus harrisii (Tasmanian devil). Its description in RNAcentral is "lncRNA (ENSSHAG00000031669.1)". Lineage: Eukaryota; Metazoa; Chordata; Mammalia; Dasyuromorphia; Dasyuridae. The record is from RNAcentral.